UACGUAGGGGGCGAGCGUUGUCCGGAGUUAUUGGGCGUAAAGCGCGCGCAGGCGGUCUAGCCAGUCUGGAGUGACAGUUCCCGGCUCACCUGGGAAAGGUCUUCGGAAACUGCUAGACUUGAGGGACUCAGAGGGAGACGGAGUUCCAGGUGGAGCGGUGAAAUGCGUAGAGAUCUGGAGGAACACCAAAGGCGAAGGCAGUCUCCUGGGAGUUACCUGACGCUCAGGCGCGAAAGCCAGGGGAGCGAACGGG
This 253-nucleotide ribosomal RNA is filed under the name uncultured bacterium. RNAcentral describes it as "partial 16S ribosomal RNA". It matches the Rfam family "Bacterial small subunit ribosomal RNA", at positions 524 to 776 of the family's 1533-position model. The record is from RNAcentral.